GACGAACGCUGGCGGCGUGCUUAACACAUGCAAGUCGAACGGAAAGGCCCUGCUUUUGUGGGGUGCUCGAGUGGCGAACGGGUGAGUAACACGUGAGUAACCUGCCCUUGACUUUGGGAUAACUUCAGGAAACUGGGGCUAAUACCGGAUAGGAUCUCCUGCUGCAUGGUGGGGGUUGGAAAGUUUCGGCGGUUGGGGAUGGACUCGCGGCUUAUCAGCUUGUUGGUGGGGUAGGGGCUUACCAAGGCUUUGACGGGUAGCCGGCCUGAGAGGGUGACCGGCCACAUGGGGACUGAGGUAGGGCCCAGACUGCAACGGGAGGCAGCAGUGGAGAAUAUUGCACAAUGGGGGGAAGCCUGAUGCAGCAACGCCGCGUGCGGGAUGACGGCCUUCGGGUUGUAAACAGAUUUCGCCUGUGACGAAGCGUGAGUGACGGUAAUGGGUAAAGAAGCACCGGCUAACUACGUG
This 468-nucleotide ribosomal RNA is filed under the name uncultured bacterium. Its description in RNAcentral is "partial 16S ribosomal RNA". It matches the Rfam family "Bacterial small subunit ribosomal RNA", at positions 28 to 507 of the family's 1533-position model. The record is from RNAcentral.